Molecule: ribosomal RNA, 782 nt
Filed under: Corynebacterium sp. YNLB29-33-191104
Lineage: Bacteria; Bacillati; Actinomycetota; Actinomycetes; Mycobacteriales; Corynebacteriaceae
Description: bacterial SSU rRNA
Rfam family: Bacterial small subunit ribosomal RNA
Source: RNAcentral
CGUAGGUGGUUUGUCGCGUCGUCUGUGAAAUUCCGGGGCUUAACUCCGGGCGUGCAGGCGAUACGGGCAUAACUUGAGUGCUGUAGGGGAGACUGGAAUUCCUGGUGUAGCGGUGAAAUGCGCAGAUAUCAGGAGGAACACCGAUGGCGAAGGCAGGUCUCUGGGCAGUUACUGACGCUGAGGAGCGAAAGCAUGGGUAGCGAACAGGAUUAGAUACCCUGGUAGUCCAUGCCGUAAACGGUGGGCGCUAGGUGUAGGGGGCUUCCACGUCUUCUGUGCCGUAGCUAACGCAUUAAGCGCCCCGCCUGGGGAGUACGGCCGCAAGGCUAAAACUCAAAGGAAUUGACGGGGGCCCGCACAAGCGGCGGAGCAUGUGGAUUAAUUCGAUGCAACGCGAAGAACCUUACCUGGGCUUGACAUACACCAGAUCGCUGCAGAGAUGUAGUUUCCCUUGUGGUUGGUGUACAGGUGGUGCAUGGUUGUCGUCAGCUCGUGUCGUGAGAUGUUGGGUUAAGUCCCGCAACGAGCGCAACCCUUGUCUUAUGUUGCCAGCAUUUGGUUGGGGACUCAUGAGAGACUGCCGGGGUUAACUCGGAGGAAGGUGGGGAUGACGUCAAAUCAUCAUGCCCCUUAUGUCCAGGGCUUCACACAUGCUACAAUGGUCGGUACAACGCGCAGCGACACUGUGAGGUGGAGCGAAUCGCUGAAAGCCGGUCUUAGUUCGGAUUGGGGUCUGCAACUCGACCCCAUGAAGUCGGAGUCGCUAGUAAUCGUAGAUCAGC